This 185-nucleotide ribosomal RNA is filed under the name uncultured bacterium. Its description in RNAcentral is "partial 16S ribosomal RNA". It matches the Rfam family "Bacterial small subunit ribosomal RNA", at positions 1301 to 1500 of the family's 1533-position model. The record is from RNAcentral.
UAGGCUGCAACUCGCCUACAUGAAGCUGGAAUUGCUAGUAAUCACAGGUCAGCAUACUGUGGUGAAUACGUUCCCGGGCCUUGUACACACCGCCGUCACACCAUGAGAGUUGAGAAUACCCGAAGUCCAUGUCAAAGUGGCCGAAGGUAGGCUUGAUGAUUGGGGUGAAGUCGUAACAAGGUAGC